AGGAGUUUAAAUACUCAUCUUCAUUAAAUUAAAGUCAUCCAUUCAAGGAAACGUGACCCAUUCUCACCCAUUGGAUAAAUUAUAUCUGGGGAACGAAUCUGAACCGCACGAUCAGAUAAAAUUAGGAUCGUUCGAUUGCGCCUGAAUAGAAAACGAAUCUGGGUCGUCCGUGCGCGCGAGAGGAGAUUUGGGUCGUCGGAUCCAUUGGCAAGCGGAUCACCCGCAU
This 226-nucleotide long non-coding RNA is filed under the name Carica papaya (papaya). RNAcentral describes it as "long non-coding RNA (CPAP_LNC011320)". Lineage: Eukaryota; Viridiplantae; Streptophyta; Magnoliopsida; Brassicales; Caricaceae. The record is from RNAcentral.